Molecule: ribosomal RNA, 253 nt
Filed under: uncultured prokaryote
Description: partial 16S ribosomal RNA
Rfam family: Bacterial small subunit ribosomal RNA
Source: RNAcentral
GACGAACCGUGCAAACGUUGUUCGGAAUCACUGGGCUUAAAGGGCGCGUAGGCGGGCCAGCCAGUCUGUGGUGAAAGCCUCCAGCUUAACUGGAGAAGUGCCGUGGAUACUGCUGGCCUCGAGGAGGAUAGGGGCAUCUGGAACGGUCGGUGGAGCGGUGAAAUGCGUUGAUAUCCGAAGGAACGCCGGUGGCGAAAGCGACGGGCUGGAUCUCUUCUGACGCUGAGGCGCGAAAGCCAGGGGAGCGAACGGG